This 403-nucleotide ribosomal RNA is filed under the name Chloroflexota bacterium. RNAcentral describes it as "Chloroflexi bacterium partial 16S ribosomal RNA". It matches the Rfam family "Bacterial small subunit ribosomal RNA", at positions 355 to 776 of the family's 1533-position model. Lineage: Bacteria; Bacillati; Chloroflexota. The record is from RNAcentral.
UGGGGAAUAUUGCACAAUGGGGGAAACCCUGAUGCAGCGACGCCGCGUGAACGAAGAAGGUAUUCGUAUCGUAAAGUUCUGUCCUAUGGGAAGAUAAUGACAGUACCAUAGAAGAAAGCUCCGGCUAAAUACGUGCCAGCAGCCGCGGUAAUACGUAUGGAGCGAGCGUUGUCCGGAAUUAUUGGGCGUAAAGGGUACGCAGGCGGUUUAAUAAGUCGAAUGUUAAAGAUCGGGGCUCAACACCGUAAAGCAUUGGAAACUGAUAAACUUGAGAAGUGGAGAGGAAAGUGGAAUUCAUAGUGUAGGGGUGAAAUACGUAGAUAUUAGGAGGAAUACCAGUAGCGAAGGCGACUGUCUGGACACAAACUGACGCUGAGGUACGAAAGCGUGGGGAGCAAACAGG